UGAACGCUGGCGGCGUGCUUAACACAUGCAAGUCGCACGAGAACGCUUCAGCUUGCUGAAGUUAGUAAAGUGGCGCACGGGUGAGUAACGCGUGGGUAAUCUACCCUCGAAUUGGGGAUAACAUCGCGAAAGUGAUGCUAAUACCGAAUAAUAUCUUAAAAACCUCGGUUUUAAAGAUCAAAGGAGGCCUCUACUUGUAAGCUUCUGUUUGAGGAUGAGCCCGCGUACCAUUAGCUUGUUGGUAGGGUAAUGGCCUACCAAGGCUACGAUGGUUAGCUGGUCUGAGAGGAUGAUCAGCCACACUGGAACUGACACACGGUCCAGACUCCUACGGGAGGCAGCAGUGAGGAAUUUUGCGCAAUGGGGGAAACCCUGACGCAGCAACGCCGCGUGAGUGAUGAAGGCUUUCGGGUCGUAAAGCUCUGUCAAGUGGGAAGAACCCACAUGGUGUUAAUACCACCAUGUGUUGACGGUACCACUGAAGGAAGCACCGGCUAACUCC
RNAcentral lists this ribosomal RNA (502 nucleotides) under uncultured bacterium. Its description in RNAcentral is "bacterial SSU rRNA". It matches the Rfam family "Bacterial small subunit ribosomal RNA", at positions 30 to 504 of the family's 1533-position model. The record is from RNAcentral.